This is a non-coding RNA of Triticum aestivum (bread wheat), 133 nucleotides long. The record is from Rfam. Lineage: Eukaryota; Viridiplantae; Streptophyta; Magnoliopsida; Poales; Poaceae.
UAUAUACUCCCUCUGUCCGGAAAUACUUGUCAAAAAUAAAUGAAAGGAGAUGUAUCUAGAUGUAUUUUAGUUCUAGAUACAUUCCUUUUUAUCCAUUUUGAUGACAAGUAUUUUCAGACGGAGCGAGUAUAUC